UAGGCGACCGGGUGAGUAACACGUGACUAACCUGCCCUUGAUGGGGGAUAACCUCGGGAAACCGGGGCUAAUACCGCAUAACAUCCUGUGGGUGCAAUUCCCGUUGGAUCAAAGGAGCAAUUCGCUGAAGGAGGGGGUCGCGGCCGAUUAGCUAGUUGGUAGGGUAAUGGCCUACCAAGGCGACGAUCGGUAGCCGGCCUGAGAGGGCGCACGGCCACACUGGAACUGAAACACGGUCCAG
This 241-nucleotide ribosomal RNA is filed under the name uncultured bacterium. Its description in RNAcentral is "partial 16S ribosomal RNA". It matches the Rfam family "Bacterial small subunit ribosomal RNA", at positions 95 to 334 of the family's 1533-position model. The record is from RNAcentral.